AGUGAACGCUGGCGGUAGGCCUAACACAUGCAAGUCGAACGGCAGCACAGGAGAGCUUGCUCUCUGGGUGGCGAGUGGCGGACGGGUGAGGAAUACAUCGGAAUCUACUCUGUCGUGGGGGAUAACGUAGGGAAACUUACGCUAAUACCGCAUACGACCUACGGGUGAAAGCAGGGGACCUUCGGGCCUUGCGCGAUUGAAUGAGCCGAUGUCGGAUUAGCUAGUUGGCGGGGUAAAGGCCCACCAAGGCGACGAUCCGUAGCUGGUCUGAGAGGAUGAUCAGCCACACUGGAACUGAGACAUGGUCCAGACUCCUACGGGAGGCAGCAGUGGGGAAUAUUGGACAAUGGGCGCAAGCCUGAUCCAGCCAUACCGCGUGGGUGAAGAAGGCCUUCGGGUUGUAAAGCCCUUUUGUUGGGAAAGAAAUCCAGCUGGUUAAUACCCGGUUGGGAUGACGGUACCCAAAGAAUAAGCACCGGCUAACUACGUGCCAGCCGCCGCCGUAA
This 506-nucleotide ribosomal RNA is filed under the name uncultured bacterium. RNAcentral describes it as "partial 16S ribosomal RNA". It matches the Rfam family "Bacterial small subunit ribosomal RNA", at positions 29 to 523 of the family's 1533-position model. The record is from RNAcentral.